Molecule: ribosomal RNA, 497 nt
Filed under: uncultured bacterium
Lineage: Bacteria
Description: partial 16S ribosomal RNA
Rfam family: Bacterial small subunit ribosomal RNA
Source: RNAcentral
GAUGAACGCUGGCGGCGUGCCUAAUACAUGCAAGUCGAGCGAACAGACGAGGAGCUUGCUCCUCUGACGUUAGCGGCGGACGGGUGAGUAACACGUGGAUAACCUACCUAUAAGACUGGGAUAACUUCGGGGAACCGGAGCUAAUACCGGAUAAUAUAUUGAACCGCAUGGUUCAAUAGUGAAAGACGGUUUUGCUGUCAAUUAUAGAUGGAUCCGCGGCGCAUUGUCUAGUUGGUAAGGUAACGGCUUACCAAGGCGACGAUGCGUAGCCGACCUGAGAGGGUGAUCGGCCACACUGGAACUGAGACACGGUCCAGACUCCUACGGGAGGCAGCAGUAGGGAAUCUUCCGCAAUGGGCGAAAGCCUGACGGAGCAACGCCGCGUGAGUGAUGAAGGUCUUCGGAUCGUAAAACUCUGUUAUUAGGGAAGAACAAAUGUGUAAGUAACUAUGCACGUCUUGACGGUACCUAAUCAGAAAGCCACGGCUAACUACGUG